RNAcentral lists this ribosomal RNA (365 nucleotides) under uncultured eukaryote. RNAcentral describes it as "partial 18S ribosomal RNA". It matches the Rfam family "Eukaryotic small subunit ribosomal RNA", at positions 592 to 976 of the family's 1831-position model. The record is from RNAcentral.
CAAUAGCGUAUAUUUAAGUUGUUGCAGUUAAAAAGCUCGUAGUCGGAUUUUGGCUGAGAACGAUCGGUCCGCCGUUAGGUGUGCACUGAUUGGUCUCAGCUUCCUGGUGAGGAGGUGUGCUUCACGGCCACUUAGUCACCGUGGUUACUUUGAAAAAAUUAGAGUGUUCAAAGCGGGCUUACGCUUGAAUAUAUUAGCAUGGAAUAACACCAUAGGACUCCUGUCCUAUUUCGUUAGUCUCGGGACGGGAGUAAUGAUUAAGAGGAACAGUUGGGGGCAUUCGUAUUUCAUUGUCAGAGGUGAAAUUCUUGGAUUUAUGAAAGACGAACUUCUGCGAAAGCAUUUGCCAAGGAUGUUUUCAUUGA